Molecule: ribosomal RNA, 252 nt
Filed under: uncultured bacterium
Lineage: Bacteria
Description: partial 16S ribosomal RNA
Rfam family: Bacterial small subunit ribosomal RNA
Source: RNAcentral
UACGAAGGGGGCUAGCGUUGUUCGGAUUUACUGGGCGUAAAGGGAGCGUAGGCGGAUUGAUCAGUCAGGGGUGAAAUCCCAAGGCUCAACCUUGGAAUGCCUUUGAUACUGUCGGUCUUGAGUCCGGGAGAGGUGAGUGGAACUGCGAGUGUAGAGGUGAAAUUCGUAGAUAUUCGGAAGAACACCAGUGGCGAAGGCGACUUACUGGACACAUAUUGACGCUGAGGUGCGAAAGCGUGGGGAGCAAACAGG